GACGAACGCUGGCGGCGUGCCUAAUACAUGCAAGUUGAACGCUUGAUUUUCACCGAAGCUUGCUUCACCGAAAAUCAAGAGUAGCGAACGGGUGAGUAACGCGUGGGUAACCUACCUAUCAGCGGGGGAUAACUAUUGGAAACGAUAGCUAAUACCGCAUAACAAUGUUGAAUGCAUAUUCGACAUUUGAAAGUACCAACUGGUACACUGAGAGAUGGACCCGCGUUGUAUUAGCUAGUUGGUAGUGUAAUGGACUACCAAGGCGAUGAUACAUAGCCGACCUGAGAGGGUGAGUCGGACCGACAUUGGGACUGAGACACGGCCCAAACUCCUACGGGAGGCAGCAGUAGGGAAUCUUCGGCAAAUGGACGAAAGUCUGACCGAGCAACGCCGCGUGAGUGAAGAAGGUUUUCGGAUCGUAAAACUCUGUUGUUAGAGAAGAACGUUGCAUAGAGUGGAAAAUUAUGCAAGUGACGGUAUCUAACCAGAAAGGGACGGCUAACUACGUG
RNAcentral lists this ribosomal RNA (509 nucleotides) under uncultured bacterium. Its description in RNAcentral is "bacterial SSU rRNA". It matches the Rfam family "Bacterial small subunit ribosomal RNA", at positions 28 to 507 of the family's 1533-position model. The record is from RNAcentral.